Molecule: ribosomal RNA, 468 nt
Filed under: uncultured bacterium
Lineage: Bacteria
Description: partial 16S ribosomal RNA
Rfam family: Bacterial small subunit ribosomal RNA
Source: RNAcentral
GACGAACGCUGGCGGCGUGCUUAACACAUGCAAGUCGAACGGAAAGGCCCUGCUUUUGUGGGGUGCUCGAGUGGCGAAGGGGUGAGUAACCCGGGAAUAACCUUCGCUGGACUUUGGGAUAACUUCAGGAAACUGGGGAUAAUACCGGAUAGGAGCUCCUGCUGCAGGGGGGGGGUUGGAACGUUUCGGCGGUUGGGGAUGGAGUGGCGGCUUAUUAGCUGGUUGGUUGGGGAGUGGCUUACCAAGUCAUUGGCAGGUAGCCGGCCUGGGAGGGUGGCCGGCCUCCUGGCGCCUGAGAUACGGCCCAGACUCCUAUGGUGGGCAGCGGGCGGGAAUAUUGCCCAAUGGGCGGAAGCCUGAUGCAGCAGUGCCGCGUGUGGGAUGACGGCCUUCGUGUUGUAAACCGCUUUCGCCUGUGACGAAGCGUGAUUGACGUUAAUGGGUAAAGAAGCACCGGCUAACUACGUG